UUACGGUCAUAUAAUGUUGGAACACCGUUUUCCGUACGAUCACCAAAGUUAAACAAUGUCGAGCCUGGUCAGUACCUAGAUGGGCGAACUCUUGGGAAUACCAAAUGCUGCAAG
This is a non-coding RNA of Acanthosepion pharaonis, 114 nucleotides long. NCBI's taxonomy places the organism in Eukaryota, Metazoa, Mollusca, Cephalopoda, Sepiida, Sepiidae. The record is from the annotation of a GenBank genome assembly.